AGUCUGGUGCCAGCAGCCGCGGUAAUUCCAGCUCCAAUAGCGUAUAUUAAAGUUGUUGCAGUUAAAAAGCUCGUAGUUGAACCUUGGGCCUGGCUGGCCGGUCCGCCUCACCGCGUGCACUGGUCCGGCCGGGCCUUUCCUUCUGGGGAGCCUCAUGCCCUUCACUGGGUGUGUUGGGGAACCAGGACUUUUACUUUGAAAAAAUUAGAGUGUUCAAAGCAGGCCUAUGCUCGAAUACAUUAGCAUGGAAUAAUAGAAUAGGACGUGUGGUUCUAUUUUGUUGGUUUCUAGGACCGCCGUAAUGAUUAAUAGGGAUAGUCGGGGGCAUCAGUAUUCAAUUGUCAGAGGUGAAAUUCUUGGAUUUAUUGAAGACUAACUACUGCGAAAGCAUUUGCCAAGGAUGUUUUCAUUAAUCAGUGAACGAAAGUUAGGGGAUCGAAGACGAUCAGAUACCGUCGUAGUCUUAACCAUAAACUAUGCCGACUAGGGAUCGGGCGAUGUUAUCUUUUUGACUCGCUCGGCACCUCACGAGAAAUCAAAGUCUUUGGGUUCU
RNAcentral lists this ribosomal RNA (553 nucleotides) under Rutstroemia firma. RNAcentral's name for it is "SSU rRNA". It matches the Rfam family "Eukaryotic small subunit ribosomal RNA", at positions 558 to 1115 of the family's 1831-position model. The record is from RNAcentral. Lineage: Eukaryota; Fungi; Ascomycota; Leotiomycetes; Helotiales; Rutstroemiaceae.